CCUACGGGAGGCAGCAGUGAGGAAUAUUGGUCAAUGGGAGAGAUCCUGAACCAGCCAAGCCGCGUGAGGGAAGACGGCCCUAUGGGUUGUAAACCUCUUUUGUCGGAGAACAAAACCCGGGACGAGUCCCGGACUGCGUGUAUCCGAAGAAAAAGCAUCGGCUAACUCCGUGCCAGCAGCCGCGGUAAUACGGAGGAUGCGAGCGUUAUCCGGAUUUAUUGGGUUUAAAGGGUGCGUAGGCGGUCUGUUAAGUCAGCGGUAAAAGUGCGGGGCUCAACCCCGUCGAGCCGUUGAAACUGGCAGACUUGAGUUGGCGAGAAGUACGCGGAAUGCGCGGUGUAGCGGUGAAAUGCAUAGAUAUCGCGCAGAACUCCGAUUGCGAAGGCAGCGUACCGGCGCCAGACUGACGCUGAGGCACGAAAGCGUGGGGAUCGAACAGGAUUAGAUACCCGAGUAGUC
RNAcentral lists this ribosomal RNA (459 nucleotides) under uncultured bacterium. Its description in RNAcentral is "partial 16S ribosomal RNA". It matches the Rfam family "Bacterial small subunit ribosomal RNA", at positions 338 to 795 of the family's 1533-position model. The record is from RNAcentral.